Pogona vitticeps (central bearded dragon) is the source of this 1552-nucleotide long non-coding RNA. Lineage: Eukaryota; Metazoa; Chordata; Lepidosauria; Squamata; Agamidae. The record is from Ensembl.
CCUUCUGACCUUGUAAUUAUUAGAAAUUUCAGCUUAAUGAACGUUAAAUAUGUUGAGCUCUCACUUGGAGGCCUUGCUGCCUUCUCCCCAACUCUGAUGUGCAGUUAAUAGCAUUGCAGAACAAGGACGUUUCUGUGAUGGCACCAAACCUGUGAAACAUGCAGGGAAAAGAUUUCCUCACUACUGCUUAAAUGGCAGAUCAAGAUGGCCGUCUUCCAGAAAACUGAGUGACUGAUUAAAACCUCAUGUUUCUAAUGCUCUGACCAUUGCGGUACUUCACACGGUGUCUUUAAAAUACACUUUUAAAAUUCUUUUUAAAAUAAGUUUUGCAAGGCCAUUUGGCGAUGCUUCUUAUAGACAGCAGUAACCUCAGCUGGAGUUCUGCUUGUCAAACAGGAUAUGAACCAGAGUGAAACAUACUUAUUCCUAGAUUCCGUUCCUUUGCAGAUUACUGCUUUCAUUCUAACAUUCCCAUACAAACCUGAGAGAUUAAGUUUUCCGGACAUCCUCCCCGGUGUGCAGAAGGAAGCUGUUCAGUCUUUGUUCUUAAGUGACAGACUGGAUUGGAGAUGGGAAAAAACAAUCGUCUUCUACCUAAGAUUUUCUGAAAAGACCCUGGAUUCCAUGGUCCUUUAACUGUGUUAAUUUAUGUAAGCACCUUUGGGAGCUUACUUCCCAGUAAAUGUGUUGUACAAGAUGGGAUAAUAUGUUCUGUUUUCAUUUCAGAAACCUGGUCCUGCUCUGUUUUGUUCUGUUUUUAAAUAGAAUGGGUAGCGUGUGAGGAAAACUAACAUGAUUAAAACUGGAUUUGGACACUGAGAAAGUUCCUGUAGGUAUUAAGUAUUAGCAGUAACAGCUGCUGCGGUUCCCAUUAGUGGAGGAGGCAAGGAUUUUUUUUUCUUUAAAGGAUGUUUGCAUGCCAUUCUGAAGGAGAAAAGUGCCGAGUAUCUGAAGGAACAUGUGCUCCAAGAUAAAGGAUGAGAUGGAAGUCCAGGCAAUGCUUGUUGUGUGGACAUUUAUAACCCUGUGCUUGGUUUCAUACACUGCAGCAUUUUCCCAUGGUGCCAGUCUUUCAGCAUGUACUGACAUGAGGCCGAAACAUAUCAGGGCUCAUCUUCAGAAUCCACAAAAUAACUAUAUUACCAUCCACACCAAUAUGUCCUUUUUUCCAGGUGACAAGGUACCAGGUAAAGAGUAAUUACAGUUUUUUUUUGGGGGGGGGCAAAUGCAGAGGGCUGUGUAUCAGUUUAUUUCAAGGUUAUAGACUAGCGUUUCUUACCUUUUUGCUCUCUAACCACAUUAUCCCAUCCUAGCGGGAUCUGUAGCCUAAUAGAACUAGGGGGAAACAAGGGUAAGGGAUGCCUGCUCUACAUCAUGCAUUGGCUGUGUCUUAAUCAUUCAUGCUAACGUUAGUACUGGGAAACAAGGUCUUCUGCUAUGGAAGAUAGCCUGCAUGUGUCAGAGUUCCCCUUGCUUUCCAAAUGUAGGAAAUCAGAACAGAAUGAGCUGAGGAGUGAAUAAAAGGUAAUGAGCAGCAGAGCUUUAACUAACU